CUGUAAGGGACCCUGUUACUCUCUGCCCCGGGUAUGGAGGAGCUGCGUCCUGGAGACCAGAGUGUUUGCCGCUGUCCUCAUCUUUCCUGGCAAGAUCCUUGCACUGUGCCUGUCCUGUCUUUAAGCCAACUGAUCAUGGACUGAAUCACCUAAAAACUGACCCUGUGCUCACAAAGCACUUGGCAGCGGAGGCUCCAACCAAGAAGCACACUGACAGUGGACUAGACCAACUGACUUGAGAGAAGGUACGUCCUGGAGGAUGGCAACUCCAGGGAGAAGUAACAGACUUGGCCAGGAGCUCCAGAUCCAGCAAAACCCCAAGUUAUGGUAAACUAGAACAGCCCAGGGUUUCACUUAAAAUGUGACUUCUUCACAGCAGGUUAGAAUUGGAGAAGAAACCCAGUGCGGUGUCCACCAUAUUUCCAGAGUAAUAAUCAGGUCUCAUUUGGAGAAAGCGUUGUGAAGACUGCGUCACAGAGCAACUCGACUUCAGUGAUUCCAGCAUUACUUUCUUACAGAGACUGGCUGAGAGACAGUCACAGGAGACAGCCUCAGGGUGGGUGGGAACUGGACAUACAGCCCUGAGGAUUUUAAACUCUGGCCAGGAAGGACAUGGGCCCUGUCCUCUCUGGAGAGAAAAUAGGCACUGUGAUUGGGGCUUCCAGAGAGGCAGGAUCUGUCUACUGGAACCACCCGCCUACUGUCUACAUCUAGAGAGAUUAGUGGUCUAAUUGUUUUCCCCAUGUACAAAUGUGAACAACAGAUAUGAGUCAUCUUGGAUGGUUGCCACAUUCUGGGGUGUACAGACACAGGGAUGGAUCCCUGGAGCAGAAACGGGGCACCUCACAAACCCAUAGACCAUAAAGCUAAGCGGAGAAAAGGAUGACUUGCUGGAUUCAAAGACUAAAAACCCUAGAAAGAACCAUACAUUCAAAAAAAGAGACAAAAAAUAAUUGGCUCAAUUUUGUUUUCCUAUUUAUUUCCGUCAUUGAUUUGUGGGAGUCUUAUUUCUUUAUCCUAAUUUCUUUUUCUUUUCUUCUUUAUUUUCUUUUCUUUUCUCCUUCAGUUCCUUUUUUUAAGGUUCAUUUUCUUCUUUUAUUUGGCUUUCUGAUUUUUUCCUUUUCCUUCUUAUUCAUAUUUUUUUACUUUUAUCUAAUGUUAUUAAUUUCCUUUUGUCCCUCAAGAAAAUCCUUUAUUACACUUUUCUCCCCUACUUCUCAUCUUCUGUUAAUUUUUUAAAUUCUUUUUUUCAUUCUCAUUUCCCAUGCCUUUUAUCUUUCU
Molecule: long non-coding RNA, 1281 nt
Filed under: Heterocephalus glaber (naked mole-rat)
Lineage: Eukaryota; Metazoa; Chordata; Mammalia; Rodentia; Bathyergidae
Description: lncRNA (ENSHGLG00000043467.1)
Source: RNAcentral